UGCAGUCGACGAACUCUGGUAUUGAUUGGUGCUUGCAUCAUGAUUUACAUUUGAGUGAGUGGCGAACUGGUGAGUAACACGUGGGAAACCUGCCCAGAAGCGGGGGAUAACACCUGGAAACAGAUGCUAAUACCGCAUAACAACUUGGACCGCAUGGUCCGAGUUUGAAAGAUGGCUUCGGCUAUCACUUUUGGAUGGUCCCGCGGCGUAUUAGCUAGAUGGUGGGGUAACGGCUCACCAUGGCAAUGAUACGUAGCCGACCUGAGAGGGUAAUCGGCCACAUUGGGACUGAGACACGGCCCAAACUCCUACGGGAGGCAGCAGUAGGGAAUCUUCCACAAUGGACGAAAGUCUGAUGGAGCAACGCCGCGUGAGUGAAGAAGGGUUUCGGCUCGUAAAACUCUGUUGUUAAAGAAGAACAUAUCUGAGAGUAACUGUUCAGGUAUUGACGGUAUUUAACCAGAAAGCCACGGCUAACUACGUGCCAGCAGCCGCGGUAAUACGUAGGUGGCAAGCGUUGUCCGGAUUUAUUGGGCGUAAAGCGAGCGCAGGCGGUUUUUUAAGUCUGAUGUGAAAGCCUUCGGCUCAACCGAAGAAGUGCAUCGGAAACUGGGAAACUUGAGUGCAGAAGAGGACAGUGGAACUCCAUGUGUAGCGGUGAAAUGCGUAGAUAUAUGGAAGAACACCAGUGGCGAAGGCGGCUGUCUGGUCUGUAACUGACGCUGAGGCUCGAAAGUAUGGGUAGCAAACAGGAUUAGAUACCCUGGUAGUCCAUACCGUACA
This 783-nucleotide ribosomal RNA is filed under the name Lactiplantibacillus plantarum. Its description in RNAcentral is "bacterial SSU rRNA". It matches the Rfam family "Bacterial small subunit ribosomal RNA", at positions 56 to 806 of the family's 1533-position model. Lineage: Bacteria; Bacillati; Bacillota; Bacilli; Lactobacillales; Lactobacillaceae. The record is from RNAcentral.